GAUGAACGCUGGCGGCGUGCCUAAUACAUGCAAGUCGAGCGAACAGACCAGGAGCUUGCUCCUCUGACGUUAGAGGCGGACGGGUGAGUAACACGUGGAUAACCUACCUAUACGACUGGGAUAACUUCGGGAAACCGUAUCUAAUGCCGGAUAAUAUAUUGACCCGCAUUGGUCAAUAGUUAGAGUCGCUUUUUCUUUCACUUAUAGAUUGAUCCGCACCGCAUUAGCUAGUUGGUAAGGUAACGGCUUACCAAGGCUACGAUGGAUAACCGACCUGAGCGGGUGGAUCGACAGACGGGAUGUGAGACUGGGCACAGACUCCGAGGGGAGGAAGCAGCAGGGAAUCCUACGCGAUGGGGGAGAGGGUAACGGAGGACCGUCGGGGGAGGGAUGAAGGACUUCGGACCGUAGAACUAUGUUAUUAGGGAAGAAGAAAUGUGUAAGUAACUAUGAACGUAUUGACGGUACCGGGUCAGAAAGCCACGGCUAACUACGUG
Molecule: ribosomal RNA, 497 nt
Filed under: uncultured bacterium
Lineage: Bacteria
Description: partial 16S ribosomal RNA
Rfam family: Bacterial small subunit ribosomal RNA
Source: RNAcentral